Molecule: ribosomal RNA, 918 nt
Filed under: uncultured bacterium
Lineage: Bacteria
Description: bacterial SSU rRNA
Rfam family: Bacterial small subunit ribosomal RNA
Source: RNAcentral
GUUGAAUAGCAAUAUUUGACCUAGAGUGACGUACGGGUGCGUAACACGUAUGCAACCUACCCUUUACAGGAGGAUAGCUCGGGGAAACUCGAAUUAACCCUCCAUGAGAUCAUAGAAUGGCAUCAUUUAGUGAUUAAAACUCAGGUGGUAAAGGCUGGGCAUGCGUCUGAUUAGUUAGUUGGCGGGGUAACGGCCACCAAGACGAUGAUCAGUAGGGGAACUGAGAGGUUGAUCCCCCACACUGGCACUGAGAUACGGGCCAGACUCCUACGGGAGGCAGCAGUAGGGAAUAUUGGUCAAUGGAUGCAAGUCUGAACCAGCCAUGCCGCGUGCAGGAAGAAGGCCUUCUGGGUUGUAAACUGCUUUUGCCAGGGGAUAAAAAUACCUUGCGAGGUAAAUUGAAGGUACCUGGUGAAUAAGCCACGGCUAACUACGUGCCAGCAGCCGCGGUAAUACGUAGGUGGCAAGCGUUGUCCGGAUUUAUUGGGUUUAAAGGGUGCGUAGGCGGCUUUGUAAGUCAGUGGUGAAAUAUGUCAGCUUAACUGAGAGGGUGCCAUUGAUACUGCAGAGCUUGAGUACAGAUGAGGUAGGCGGAAUUGACGGUGUAGCGGUGAAAUGCUUUGAUAUCGUCAAGAACACCUAUAGCGAAGGCAGCUUACUAGGCUGUAACUGACGCUGAGGCACGAAAGUGUGGGGAUCAAACAGGAUUAGAUACCCUGGUAGUCCACACUGUAAACGUUGAUUACUCGCUGUGUGCGAUAUACAGUACGCGGCCAAGCGAAAGCGAUAAGUAAUCCACCUGGGGAGUACGCCGGCAACGGUGAAACUCAAAGGAAUUGACGGGGGUCCGCACAAGCGGUGGAGCAUGUGGUUUAAUUCGAUGAUACGCGAGGAACCUUACCUGGGCUAGAAUGCUCU